CCUACGGGAGGCAGCAGUGGGGAAUAUUGGGCAAUGGGCGCAAGCCUGACCCAGCAACGCCGCGUGAAGGAAGAAGGCUCUCGGGUUGUAAACCUCCUUUAAUAGGGAAGAGCAGAAGACGGUACCUCUUGAAUAAGCCAUGGCUAACUAAGUGCCAGCAGCCGCGGUCAUACGUAGGUGGCAAGCGUUGUCCGGAUUUACUGGGUGUAAAGGGCGUGCAGCCGGGAAGACAAGUCAGAUGUGAAAUCCCGAGGCGCAACCGCUGAACUGCAUUUGAAAAUGUUUUUCUUGAGUACCGGAGAGGUAAUCGGAAUUCCUGGUGUAGCGGUGAAAUGCGUAGAUAUAAGGAAGAACACCAGUGGCGAAGGCGGAUGACUGGACGGCAACUGACGGUGAGGCGCGAAAGCGUGGGGAGCGAACAGGAUUAGAUACCCUGGUAGUC
Molecule: ribosomal RNA, 442 nt
Filed under: uncultured bacterium
Lineage: Bacteria
Description: partial 16S ribosomal RNA
Rfam family: Bacterial small subunit ribosomal RNA
Source: RNAcentral